CGCGGCCUAUCAGCUUGUUGGUGGUGUAACGGACCACCAAGGCGACGACGGGUAGCGGGCCUGAGAGGGUGGCCCGUCACACUGGGACUGAGACACUGCCCAGACUCCUACGGGAGGCUGCAGUCGAGAAUCUUCCGCAAUGGACGCAAGUCUGACGGAGCGACGCCGCGUGUAGGACGAAGGCCCUUGGGUUGUAAACUACUGUCACGAGUUAUGAAUGGGUACGGGUUAAUAGCCCGUGCAUUGACGUAAGCUCGAGAGGAAGCACCGGCUAACUCUGUGCCAGCAGCCGCGGUAACACAGAGGGUGCAAACGUUGUUCGGAAUCACUGGGCAUAAAGCGCACGUAGGCGGCUUGGUAAGUGUGAAGUGAAAGCCCACGGCUCACCCGUGGAAUUGCUUUGCAUACUGCCAGGCUCGAGGACGGUAGGGGAGAGCAGAACUCCUGGAGGAGCGGUGAAAUGCGUAGAUAUCAGGAGGAAUACCAGUGGCGAAGGCGGCUCUCUGGUCCGUUUCUGACGCUGAGGUGCGAAAGCUAGGGUAGCGAACGGGAUUAGAUACCCCGGUAGUCCUAGCCGUAAACGAUGGGCACUAACUAGAGGUCUCCUGUUUGAUCUCUGGUGAAGCAAAUGUGUUGAGUGCCCCGCCUGGGGAGUACGG
Molecule: ribosomal RNA, 659 nt
Filed under: uncultured bacterium
Lineage: Bacteria
Description: bacterial SSU rRNA
Rfam family: Bacterial small subunit ribosomal RNA
Source: RNAcentral